Molecule: ribosomal RNA, 258 nt
Filed under: uncultured bacterium
Lineage: Bacteria
Description: partial 16S ribosomal RNA
Rfam family: Bacterial small subunit ribosomal RNA
Source: RNAcentral
UGGCGGACGGGUGAGUAACGCGUGGAUAACCUGCCUUUCACAGGGGGAUAACAGCUGGAAACGGUUGCUAAUACCGCAUGAGCCUCUUUUGUCGCAUGACGGGAGAGGGAAAGAGAAAUCGGUGAGAGAUGGAUCCGCGUCCGAUUAGCUAGUUGGAGGGGUAACAGCCCACCAAGGCGACGAUCGGUAGCCGACCUGAGAGGGUGGACGGCCACAUUGGGACUGAGACACGGCCCAAACUCCUACGGAAGGCAGCAG